UGGGGAAUAUUGCACAAUGGGCGAAAGCCUGAUGCAGCGACGCCGCGUGGGGGAUGACGGUCUUCGGAUUGUAAACCCCUUUCAGUAGGGACGAAGCGCAAGUGACGGUACCUGCAGAAGAAGCACCGGCCAACUACGUGCCAGCAGCCGCGGUAAUACGUAGGGUGCGAGCGUUGUCCGGAAUUACUGGGCGUAAAGAGCUCGUAGGCGGUUUGUCACGUCGUCUGUGAAAUCCUCCAGCUUAACUGGGGGCGUGCAGGCGAUACGGGCAGACUUGAGUACUACAGGGGAGACUGGAAUUCCUGGUGUAGCGGUGAAAUGCGCAGAUAUCAGGAGGAACACCGGUGGCGAAGGCGGGUCUCUGGGUAGUAACUGACGCUGAGGAGCGAAAGCAUGGGUAGCGAACAGG
RNAcentral lists this ribosomal RNA (409 nucleotides) under uncultured bacterium. Its description in RNAcentral is "bacterial SSU rRNA". It matches the Rfam family "Bacterial small subunit ribosomal RNA", at positions 355 to 776 of the family's 1533-position model. The record is from RNAcentral.